RNAcentral lists this transfer RNA (84 nucleotides) under Motiliproteus sp. MSK22-1. It matches the Rfam family "tRNA". From Rfam's summary of the family: Transfer RNA (tRNA) molecules are approximately 80 nucleotides in length. The record is from Rfam by way of RNAcentral. Lineage: Bacteria; Pseudomonadati; Pseudomonadota; Gammaproteobacteria; Oceanospirillales; Oceanospirillaceae.
GCAGAUGUGGCGGAAUUGGUAGACGCGCUAGCUUCAGGUGCUAGUGUCCGAUAGGACGUGGGAGUUCGAGUCUCCCCAUCUGCA